UACGUAGGGUGCGAGCGUUGUCCGGAAUUACUGGGCGUAAAGAGCUCGUAGGUGGUCUGUCGCGUUGUUCGUGAAAACUCACAGCUUAACUGUGGGCGUGCGGGCGAUACGGGCAGACUGGAGUACUGCAGGGGAGACUGGAAUUCCUGGUGUAGCGGUGGAAUGCGCAGAUAUCAGGAGGAACACCGGUGGCGAAGGCGGGUCUCUGGGCAGUAACUGACGCUGAGGAGCGAAAGCGUGGGGAGCGAACAGG
This 253-nucleotide ribosomal RNA is filed under the name uncultured bacterium. RNAcentral describes it as "partial 16S ribosomal RNA". It matches the Rfam family "Bacterial small subunit ribosomal RNA", at positions 524 to 776 of the family's 1533-position model. The record is from RNAcentral.